AAUAACAUUCAUAAAAUAAUCACAGAAUCGUCUAGGUUAGAAAAGACCUUGAAGAUCAUCCAGUCCAACCAUUGACCUAACAUUGACAGAUCCCAACUACACACCACAUCCCUCAGCACUAUGUUGACACAAAUCUUAAACGCCUCCAGGGAUGGGGACUCCACCACCUCUCUGGGCAGCCCCUUCCAAUGCCUAA
Long non-coding RNA from Athene cunicularia (burrowing owl), 196 nucleotides. RefSeq lists it as uncharacterized. The transcript has 3 exons. NCBI's taxonomy places the organism in Eukaryota, Metazoa, Chordata, Aves, Strigiformes, Strigidae. The record is from RefSeq and is a predicted model, not a curated record.